AACCCAUGGUUAGGACAAUUUAGCAACAUAAACUUGUAACUCUCCCAUGCUUCACAAAGUGUUUCAGUCACACCUUGAGAAAAUACGGAAAUAAUGGUCUUGGCUU
This is a small nucleolar RNA of Lathyrus oleraceus (garden pea), 106 nucleotides long. The record is from RefSeq and is a predicted model, not a curated record. NCBI's taxonomy places the organism in Eukaryota, Viridiplantae, Streptophyta, Magnoliopsida, Fabales, Fabaceae.